RNAcentral lists this ribosomal RNA (517 nucleotides) under uncultured bacterium. RNAcentral's name for it is "bacterial SSU rRNA". It matches the Rfam family "Bacterial small subunit ribosomal RNA", at positions 98 to 633 of the family's 1533-position model. The record is from RNAcentral.
GCGGACGGCUUAGUAAAACGUAGGUACCUACCCUCAGGACCGGGAUAACUCGCCGAAAGGCGAGCUAAUACCGGAUAAUCCCUAGCGGGCAAAGACUCCGGUGCCUUUGGAGGGGCCUACGCCCUAUUAGCUAGUUGGUGAGGUAAAUGCUCACCAAGGCGAUGAUGGGUAGCUGGUCUGAGAGGAUGGCCAGCAAGACUGGGACUGAGACACGGCCCAGACUCCUACGGGAGGCAGCAGGUCAGAAUAUUGCGCAAUGGGUUCACCGCCUGACGCAGCGAUGCCGCGUGAGGGAAGACGGCCAUACGGUUGUAAACCUCUGUCGGGAGGGACGAACACUGGCUAGGCCAGUUGACGGUACCUCCAACAGGAAGCCUCGGCUAACUACGUGCCAGCAGCCGCGGUAAUACGUAGGAGGCGAGCGUUAUCCGGAAUCACUGGGCGUACAGGGUCCGCAGGCUGGCUCGUGUGUCGAAGGUGAAAUCCCGGGGCUCAACCCCGGAAGUGCCUUCGAAAC